GGGCGUAAAGGGCUUCGCAGGCGGUUUCUUAAGUCUGAUGUGAAAGCCCCCGGCUCAACCGGGGAGGGUCAUUGGAAACUGGGAAACUUGAGUGCAGAAGAGGAGAGUGGAAUUCCACGUGUAGCGGUGAAAUGCGUAGAGAUGUGGAGGAACACCAGUGGCGAAGGCGACUCUCUGGUCUGUAACUGACGCUGAGGAGCGAAAGCGUGGGGAGCGAACAGGAUUAGAUACCCUGGUAGUCCACGCCGUAAACGAUGAGUGCUAAGUGUUAGGGGGUUUCCGCCCCUUAGUGCUGCAGCUAACGCAUUAAGCACUCCGCCUGGGGAGUACGGUCGCAAGACUGAAACUCAAAGGAAUUGACGGGGGCCCGCACAAGCGGUGGAGCAUGUGGUUUAAUUCGAAGCAACGCGAAGAACCUUACCAGGUCUUGACGUCCUCUGACAACCCUAGAGAUAGGGCUUUCCCUUCGGGGACAGAGUGACAGGUGGUGCAUGGUUGUCGUCAGCUCGUGUCGUGAGAUGUUGGGUUAAGUCCCGCAACGAGCGCAACCCUUGAUCUUAGUUGCCAGCAUUCAGUUGGGCACUCUAAGGUGACUGCCGGUG
This 602-nucleotide ribosomal RNA is filed under the name Bacillus pumilus. RNAcentral's name for it is "bacterial SSU rRNA". It matches the Rfam family "Bacterial small subunit ribosomal RNA", at positions 556 to 1157 of the family's 1533-position model. The record is from RNAcentral. Lineage: Bacteria; Bacillati; Bacillota; Bacilli; Caryophanales; Bacillaceae.